Columba livia (rock pigeon) is the source of this 550-nucleotide long non-coding RNA. RefSeq lists it as uncharacterized. The record is from RefSeq and is a predicted model, not a curated record. The transcript is spliced from 3 exons. NCBI's taxonomy places the organism in Eukaryota, Metazoa, Chordata, Aves, Columbiformes, Columbidae.
CAUUUCUACAUUUCCCUCGCAGGUGCCUCCAGUCACUCUGGAAAGUGAACACCUGAACAGCGCCUCUGAGGAGAGAGGGUUGCCAGGCUCUUCACCAGUACGCAGGAAGAGAAAACCAUCCUGUGAAGAGCAGAGCGAUGGGCAACCCGAGAGCAAGCGCAGGAAGCUGGCAACAGACCUCUGAGCGACGGGCAACUCAGGAAAUCCAAGCAGGCGGAAAGAACGAGUUGCCCAGGUGGUGAUUUACUUUUGCUGCUUGGAUUUCCUGGAUGAGCUCUGACACCUGGGCUUCCAGGAGCACGAUGCAGCCCCAGCACCACCUCGGCGCAGGCGAGGACAGAGACACCGUGCCCUCCUGCUCUGGCCGGCACAUUCCACCCGUGCACCGCUAACCAGAGCAGCCCCGCAAGGCCCCCAGACCCAUCCCAGCCCUCGCAGGAGGCCCUGCUGGCUCAUCCAUCAGCUCCGUGAGCAGGUGCCCACCAGCUGGAACAUCUCUCUGAGCUGGGGAGCUGGCAUGUGAACUUAAGGGAAUGUGGAGCACGUUGCA